UUUGGCAUGGAGAUAAGGGGUCCCCCUCUUUAUGCCCAAAUACUAAUUUUUUAUUCAAGAAUAGUAGUUCUCGGUUAUCUAUAAUAACCGGAUAUAACUAUCCCCGCCAAUACCUCCAUUUUAUAUAUAUAACUACCAAUUUUCAUCCAAACGCUAUUUUUCUUAUUCCUAUACUUGUACCUAUUCCUGUAAUAACUAGUUCUUGCUUAUAUCCGAACCAAAAGCUAUCUUAGAGUAUGACUACUAUACUUUUAUGUGUACGAUUGCUUUCGUACUCAUAAAUUAUUUUUGAUGAUAAAAUUUUUGAUUGACGAUCCAUAACGUUAAACAUGAGUUAUAGCAUUUGAAAUUUGUAGGAACCAAAUUUUAUAAAUUUUUUGACAUCAUUUCUCUUAUGAUUAAAAGAUCUCAAUUCUAACAAUUUUUAACGGCAGAUAUGGAAUACUUGCUAAUUUAACGAUAUAAAAGAAUUGAAAUUAGUUAAAAUUUUGAUAGAAAAUUUUAUUCGCUAUCUUGAUAAAGAUCAAUAACUCCGACCUUGAAUUGAAGAAUCCGAUCAUUAAUUUGUAGAACGUUGUUUAAUUUUGACCAUUUAUUUUAUGCUCGCUUGAUGGACUUUAUUAUAAUUUCAAAAAAUUAAAAAAAUUUUUCCUACAUACUUCAAAUGCUCUAAAUCAUAUUUAAUAGUGCAGAUCAUUGAUUCAGAAGUUUUAUUAGAAAAAAUAACUAAUGAAUACGAAAGGUUCUAUACUCAUAAAAGUAUAGCAACCCUACUCUCUCUCUCUCUCUCUCUAUAUAUAUAUAUACAUUAACAAUUAUUUAUGUUUAAAAAUUAAAAAUUUUGAAACUAAUGUAUGAUUUAUAAGAAACAAACGUGUCGAACUUAUGCUUUUUUGUCUUUCUUUUUUUAUUACGGUCGAGUCCCAGUGAUCGACCCGUGACAGGAUGCUUUUAAAUAUUGUUAAAUAUUUUU
RNAcentral lists this long non-coding RNA (973 nucleotides) under Ananas comosus (pineapple). Its description in RNAcentral is "long non-coding RNA (ACOM_LNC025130)". The record is from RNAcentral. Lineage: Eukaryota; Viridiplantae; Streptophyta; Magnoliopsida; Poales; Bromeliaceae.